Non-coding RNA from Marmota flaviventris (yellow-bellied marmot), 836 nucleotides. The record is from RefSeq and is a predicted model, not a curated record. NCBI's taxonomy places the organism in Eukaryota, Metazoa, Chordata, Mammalia, Rodentia, Sciuridae.
AAGGCGGGCUUGGCCUGGCGGUCUCUGGGAGCCAUGCGGCUGCUCUCGUCCUCGCAGGGCCCUGAGCUACCCGGCCGGCUCUGCUCCGAGUCGUGCCCUGCCUAGUUCAACUCUGCCAAGUUUGCCUCAAGUCCUUGUUUCCUCUGAGCGCACUAUGGGCUACCUCGUCCGGGGGCCGCGACCUGCAGAUGGAGUUCCGGGGGUGCUGGUGACGCCAUGUCGAGGCAACGCUUCCAAUACUUCCUAGAGUCUCUGUUACAAGACCAGUGGCUGAUACCAACAAUCUCCUCCAUCCAGGACUGGUUCGAUGCCAUCGACGACUUGUGGCUUCAAGGAACUUUUAUAGACUUCACCCCUACCGAAGUAGCUAUCUAUAGCCACUGGGUGUUAUUUCUGGUUGCCAUGGUAUCCCCAGACCUGUCCCCCGGACAUUCCUCCACUUUCCCUUUCUAGAUCCCACGCCGCCCCCGCACAGCAGGAAGCAGCCAGAUCUGACCAACGACGCCCCAGUUCCUAAGAAAACAAAAAGGGAGGAAUGUGGGAAAAGGUAUAACUGCAGCUACACCCCAAAAAACCCCAACAUGGCUCCUGAGGAGCUUCUCUUCCUGCCUCUCCCUUUCCCACCGGUGCCAAAAACUCCCGCCAGCGCCAAUAUUCAAAUUCCGCUAGCGGGAAACCUUAGCCCCACUAAGAACUAAUUUCGUGGACUCCGGAACUGACAUCUGGAAGAACUUACCAAUAAACGGGUGACCCAUCAUUUACCUAAGCCCUGCCACCUCUCCUUAGACCUAUAUAAGCCCACAGCCUUUUGUAAUAAAGUGGAACUUCUCCGGUGA